RNAcentral lists this ribosomal RNA (301 nucleotides) under uncultured bacterium. Its description in RNAcentral is "partial 16S ribosomal RNA". It matches the Rfam family "Bacterial small subunit ribosomal RNA", at positions 509 to 808 of the family's 1533-position model. The record is from RNAcentral.
CAGUAGCCGCGGUAAUACGUAGGUCCCGAGCGUUGUCCGGAUUUAUUGGGCGUAAAGCGAGCGCAGGCGGUUAGAUAAGUCUGAAGUUAAAGGCUGUGGCUUAACCAUAGUACGCUUUGGAAACUGUUUAACUUGAGUACAAGAGGGGAGAGUGGAAUUCCAUGUGUAGCGGUGAAAUGCGUAGAUAUAUGGAGGAACACCGGUGGCGAAAGCGGCUCUCUGGCUUGUAACUGACGCUGAGGCUCGAAAGCGUGGGGAGCAAACAGGAUUAGAUACCCCUGUAGUCCCUGUCUCUUAUACA